This 360-nucleotide long non-coding RNA is filed under the name Rattus norvegicus (Norway rat). RNAcentral's name for it is "long non-coding RNA NONRATT021120". The record is from RNAcentral. Lineage: Eukaryota; Metazoa; Chordata; Mammalia; Rodentia; Muridae.
CCAAGAAAUCGCCAAAGACAAGUUAGUCUGGUUUCUUUAAUUAAAAUCUCAGUUGGAGCAUGAUUAGCAAUGUGAGAGGCUGUUUUCAAAGCUUAACCCCAAAGUUUUGUCUCAAUAUGGCAAAAAUCCUUCUUCCGAAGGACAUUUUGCUCAUCAGGAGACAGAAGAGUUACCCUACAUGGUGGCAGCUUUUCUGACUGGAGAUGUUUUAUUUUAAAGGACUGCUUCCACCUCAGUGGAGCAAGUGAGAGAGAGAAGCUAUCAGAGAGCGUUAUUGCUCAGUGACCACCGCAAAGACAAAGACGGCGGGGGAGAGUCACCAUGUGUCUCAUGUUCACCGAGUCAUGUUCAGUCUUCACC